RNAcentral lists this ribosomal RNA (279 nucleotides) under uncultured bacterium. RNAcentral's name for it is "partial 16S ribosomal RNA". It matches the Rfam family "Bacterial small subunit ribosomal RNA", at positions 506 to 784 of the family's 1533-position model. The record is from RNAcentral.
UGCCAGCCGCCGCGGUAAUACGGAGGGUGCAAGCGUUAAUCGGAAUUACUGGGCGUAAAGCGCGCGUAGGCGGUUACUUAAGUCGGAUGUGAAAGCCCCGGGCCCAACCCUGGAAUUGCAUUCGAUACUGCAUGGCUAGAGUAUGGUAGAGGGAAGUGGAAUUUCCGGUGUAGCGGUGAAAUGCGUAGAUAUCGGAAGGAACACCAGUGGCGAAGGCGACUUCCUGGGCCAAUACUGACGCUGAGGUGCGAAAGCGUGGGGAGCAAACAGGAUUAGAUA